ACCGGGCAGUCGCCGAGCUCUGCCGCUCCCCGGUGCCCCAACAACCCAGGCAGAGACGGGGGACCCAGAGUCUCCGGACCGCCAACCGUUCAUGGCCGGUCCUAGGGGUGAAGCCGCACAACCAGAAUCUCGCUGGCGCGCGGCCGGAUGGCCUCAUCCGAAUCCGACAGCUAACUCCGCAGGCGUUGAGAGGUAAC
This 197-nucleotide small RNA is filed under the name Arthrobacter cupressi. Its description in RNAcentral is "c-di-AMP sequence". It matches the Rfam family "c-di-AMP riboswitch aptamer (ydaO/yuaA leader)". Rfam says of the family: This family represents a conserved RNA structure found upstream of the ydaO and yuaA genes in Bacillus subtilis and related genes in other bacteria. The ydaO/yuaA element is thought to act as a genetic "off" switch for the ydaO and yuaA genes in its native state. The record is from RNAcentral. Lineage: Bacteria; Bacillati; Actinomycetota; Actinomycetes; Micrococcales; Micrococcaceae.